Molecule: non-coding RNA, 368 nt
Organism: Lupinus albus (white lupine)
Lineage: Eukaryota; Viridiplantae; Streptophyta; Magnoliopsida; Fabales; Fabaceae
Source: the annotation of a GenBank genome assembly
UUACUCUCAACACAAAACAUAGUGAAGGUAUCGGAAUAAAUCAAAGCAAAGCACAGUGAAUCUUUGACAUCGAGUACUGACUUCAAACUUCAAAACACGGCUCACUCUGUCGAGUUGAAAUUUGAACAAGCUUCAUAUAUAUAGUUUCUUGGCGUUGGUGAUAAUCAAGAGAAAAGAAUAAUGAUGAGUCCAUCAAUGAAGAAUAAGCCAUCACACUUUUGGUGGCUAGAAAGCCAUAUCAGAACUAAACGAUCUUCAUGGCUUCAAUCCACUCUCAAUGAGCUAAAUUAGAAGACAAAGGGAAUGUUAAAAUUAAUUGAAGAAGAUGCAGAUUCUUUUGCAAAACGUGCAGAGAUGUAUUACAAGAA